RNAcentral lists this transfer RNA (112 nucleotides) under Geomicrobium sp. JCM 19055. RNAcentral's name for it is "tRNA-Arg". It matches the Rfam family "tRNA". From Rfam's summary of the family: Transfer RNA (tRNA) molecules are approximately 80 nucleotides in length. Their secondary structure includes four short double-helical elements and three loops (D, anti-codon, and T loops). Further hydrogen bonds mediate the characteristic L-shaped molecular structure. tRNAs have two regions of fundamental functional importance: the anti-codon, which is responsible for specific mRNA codon recognition, and the 3' end, to which the tRNAs corresponding amino acid is attached (by aminoacyl-tRNA synthetases). tRNAs cope with the degeneracy of the genetic code in two manners: having more than one tRNA (with a specific anti-codon) for a particular amino acid; and 'wobble' base-pairing, i.e. permitting non-standard base-pairing at the 3rd anti-codon position. Lineage: Bacteria; Bacillati; Bacillota; Bacilli; Caryophanales. The record is from RNAcentral.
GGAACAUUGGUGUAACUGGUAACAUACCUGCCACCUACAAAGGUUCGAUUCCUUUAAUAGUGUUGGACACUAGAUAGGGUAGGGGUUGAAGGUUCGAUACCUUCAUGUUCCU